This 211-nucleotide ribosomal RNA is filed under the name uncultured Thiobacillus sp. RNAcentral's name for it is "partial 16S ribosomal RNA". It matches the Rfam family "Bacterial small subunit ribosomal RNA", at positions 1173 to 1382 of the family's 1533-position model. The record is from RNAcentral. Lineage: Bacteria; Pseudomonadati; Pseudomonadota; Betaproteobacteria; Nitrosomonadales; Thiobacillaceae.
UGGGGGAUGACGUCAAGUCCUCAUGGCCCUUAUGGGUAGGGCUUCACACGUCAUACAAUGGUCGGUACAGAGGGUUGCCAAGCCGCGAGGUGGAGCCAAUACCCAGAAAGCCGAUCGUAGUCCGGAUUGUUCUCUGCAACUCGAGAGCAUGAAGUCGGAAUCGCUAGUAAUCGCGGAUCAGCAUGUCGCGGUGAAUACGUUCCCGGGUCUU